CACGUAGGGCGCGAGCGUUGUCCGGAAUUAUUGGGCGUAAAGAGCUCGUAGGCGGCCUGUUGCGUCCGCUGUGAAAGCCCGGGGCUUAACCCCGGGUCGGCAGUGGAUACGGGCAGGCUAGAGGUAGGUAGGGGAGAAUGGAAUUCCCGGUGUAGCGGUGAAAUGCGCAGAUAUCGGGAGGAACACCGGUGGCGAAGGCGGUUCUCUGGGCCGGCACUGACGCUGAGGAGCGAAAGCGUGGGGAGCGAACAGG
Molecule: ribosomal RNA, 253 nt
Filed under: uncultured bacterium
Lineage: Bacteria
Description: partial 16S ribosomal RNA
Rfam family: Bacterial small subunit ribosomal RNA
Source: RNAcentral